UCUUUGACCUAAAAAAAAAAACCAUAAAUGCUUCAAUCCUCUCAUCCUAUCUCUACUCGGUUGUUCUCUCUUCUCCUUCCUAAACUAAAAAAUCUGUUGCUAACCCUUGCCUAUUACAUUUUCCUUUAAUUCUUGCUAUGGGAUUAUCUCUUUCUCUUAUUUCUCUUAUUUUCCUUCAUUUACUUCUUUAUUUUUUUCAUUAUUUUUUAUGCAUUUACCUUUCCCUUCCUCUGGCAAGCCGCUCAUUUUUUUAUGUAAAUGAAGUUCUGUCGUUCCAGAUCUACUACCAUGCUAAACAUAAAUUUUAAAUCUUUUUUUUCUUAUUAUUUUAUGUAGUAAAGUCUGAGUCUUUUUUUGGUUACAGGUAUCAGUGCAUUCUAUUUUUUUUCCUUCUCUUUUGUUUGUUGGUCACUAAUCUACAAUAAUCUCUUUUUUUUUGUAAAGGAAAAGGGUUUCUGUAAUGUAGAAUCCAUAAUAACCUCAUUUCUUUUUAUUUUUUUUUUUAUUUUCCUCUUUUUGAUAAUUUUUUGCUCCGCAGGUAUGGAUGAAUUUUGUUUACAUCCUUUCUUCUGCGUUUUGGUGGCCUGUGAUUUACAAAGGGGCGACUGAGUGCCGUUACUAAGAGAGAAUAGUUUUUUAUUUUUUUAUAUUCAUUUUCUCAUGUUCUUCAAUGGAUCUGUUGUCAUAUUUUAUUGCUUGGGUUAUUGCAUGUUCUAUGCCUAUUUUGUCUGUUCGUCUAUCUUCGUAUAUCACAGUACUUUACGAAGAUAUUUUGGGUCUGUUUUCAAAUCAAUUUGUUGGUGGCUUGGUUUUAUAUUAUUCACCUACUGCAUGCACUGUUCAAAUAUACCUACGUUUGUGUAUACGCAUAUUAACGCUUCUGCCUUUGUUGUGCCAUGCAUUUUGGGUCUCUGGGCUUAUGGACUGAAAUGUAUAAUUUUGGACUGAGAUGGGCCUUUGUUGUUUAUAUGGAUUGACUUUCUUUGCAUGGCCCAGUGCAACGGUUUUUACCUUAAUUAUGUCGACUGGGUUAUUGAUUUUAUUUCCAUAAUACCAUGCUUGCUGAUCUACACUUUGGUGAUUGAUGUCCCUUCUAAUGGUUUUAGUUGUUACACAGAUCCUCUACUCUAUCUUAUUGUUGAUGAUAUCACGAAUUCAGUAUCAUCAUUGCUUUCUUCAAUAAUUUAGAAGCCCUAUGUUUUACUUUCGGUAUAAAUUAUAUACACUCAGACUUAUUUUAAAACAACUUUUUUUUAUUUGUAUCAAAUCUCUUCCUAUCUGAAAACUGAAACACUAUUAAAUGGUCUCAUAGCUUCUGCAUACCCUACGCCCCCGCCCCUCAACUUGCUUCUGAUUGUACUCCUUCUUAAGUAAGUCAAUAGCAUGCUGUCUCUCCAAGUAACUUCCACUAUAAAUGCUUAGUUCCCUUCAUUUAAUGCUACCUUGCAACUGAAGCUCUUUUCUUUGGGAAGCUGCACUUAAUAUCUGGAUUGCAUACUUGCUCUCUCGCUGUAAGUUUUACUUUCAAUUUAUAUAUAUUUCAUUCUUGUAAUAUAUGAUAUAUAGCUGUGAUGUUUGUUGUUGGGUUGAUGUUAUAGGUGUUUAUGUCCAUUUAUGAGUGCUUACCUAUGCUGAUGGCUUACAUGAUAUUGUUGCUAUGGUGAUUUUUUAUUUCUCGAUUGUAUCAUGUGUUUGGAUAUUUUAUUUAACUUAUGCUUUGACAAUUGCCUUGCUUCAAUUUUCUUGAAUGACUUUUCAUAACCUGUUUAAUUGUUGGUGUUGGAUCCCACAUAAAUAUUAAUGAGAAAAAAAAUAGUGCUAUGACAUCCAUAAACAGAUGUUAAUAUGAAGUUUCUUCUAAAAAUUAAGUACUAGACUAUAUCAAUAUAUUUUUGUAAAAUAGGGGGCCUUGAAGGUCUUUGGUCCUCCAUAUAUUCCACAGGACGGUACCAACUCCUUCAUAUUCUUAUAGUAUGUUUUUACAUAUGUCUAUAGAUUGUAUUACAAAGGUUUGUGGGAUGAGCAGUAACAUCUCAAUUCAUUUUAAGGAUGAUGGUUGUUUGGAUGCUUAUUGUGGUGUAUUUGUCUCUCUUUUACAGUUUAUUUUAAGAAUUUAAAUUUAUUGUGUGGUGGAUCAAUUUUCACAGGCUUUAAUAGAAAACUUAAACUCAUUAGUUAUUCUACUUCAUAAAAAAAGGCCCUACAUAAACAUGCCUUACAUAUUUUUCCCCCUUCAGCAGGGCAGACAUUUUUUAUAGUUUGUACGUACAUACUUCUAUACACUUCAUUACAAAACAUGUAUGGGAUUAACAAUAAUAUUUCAAUUGAUUUUACGGAUUCUUACAAUUCCAAUGCUUAUAGUGGUCACAUGCCUAUCUUUUAUAAUUUGCUCUAUUAAUUUACCAUUCAUUGUAUUUUGAUUUUUUCUUUUAAAAAGGUCUUACAGAAAUAUGCCUAGAAUUUUUUAUUUUGAUUCCACUUGGUGUGAAUUCUUUUUACUCCCUAUACAUAAGCUUUUAUACACUGCAACAAUAAUUUUUUAGGCUGGCCAGUGAUAUUUCAGUUGAUUUCUAAGAGUUGUACUUCUGUAUAGACAUGCUUUUAUAUACUGUUAUGUUAUGUACUGAACCAAUUUUUGCAGCUUUAAACAAUAUACUUUAUCUUAUUUGUCAUUCUAAUCUUUACAAAGAUCUUACGGAAGCAUGUCUUGCAUAGUUUUUUUAACCUGAAAAAAUUAAAAUUUUUUUGCUAGAAUAUUGUAUGUUUAUUCUAUUCCGUCGUGAUUAUAUUUGAUUUUAGAUUUUGUUUCUCUGCUGAUUUUUGAAUAUAAUUUAUAGAUGACAAUUGUAAAUGUGCCUUUAGAAAAUAUAUUGGACAUUGUUUUACAGCAAUUGAGACUGUCCCCAACAAGAUUUGAAAUGCAUGAAGGUUCUGAUAACAUAUUUACCUGUAAUGUCUAUUACGCGCACUAUGAUAAUGCAGGGAAUAGAUUUGUGUCAUGUAAGAUUGGUAUGAGUCCUAAAUGUGCUGAGAAUGGUAGCUAUUCUUUAUAACCUGAAUAUUAUCGAUUACAAUUUUAGGAAUAUGCUUUUUUACAAAAUGAGUCGUGAACAGUAUAAAAGAGGGGAAUUAGCAAAUUUGUCAGAAAUUGGCAUCUAAUGUAUGAUAAACUUACAACAAAGUAUCACAAAGUUUGCAGGGUUAUUGAGAAGAUCAAGGCUGCCAUUGCUAGGAUUAGCCAUCUUUUUUAAAUGUUUUAGUUUACCUUUGUAUUUUUUUAGGAGCUUAAUAUGGUGUAAUGGUUCACAUAUGGUUACAGGUUGACACUUUUUA
Molecule: long non-coding RNA, 3333 nt
Organism: Ricinus communis (castor bean)
Lineage: Eukaryota; Viridiplantae; Streptophyta; Magnoliopsida; Malpighiales; Euphorbiaceae
Exons: 2
Source: RefSeq, a predicted model, not a curated record